AAGUCGUAACAAGGUUUCCGUAGGUGAACCUGCGGAAGGAUCAUUAAAGUAUUUCAGUGACGGGGGUUACUGCUUGAUUUGCUCGCAUUUCAGCAGUGGUCCUGUCUGAUACUACCCAUGUUUUUUGCGUACCUCUUGUUUCCUCAGUAGGCUAGCCUACUAAAGGACCACAUCAAACUCUUUGUAAUAGCAAUCAGCGUCAGAAAAACAUAAUAAUUACAACUUUCAACAACGGAUCUCUUGGUUCUGGCAUCGAUGAAGAACGCAGCGAAAUGCGAUAAGUAGUGUGAAUUGCAGAAUUCAGUGAAUCAUCGAAUCUUUGAACGCACAUUGCGCCCCUUGGUAUUCCAUGGGGCAUGCCUGUUCGAGCGUCAUUUGUACCCUCAAGCUCUGCUUGGUGUUGGGUGUUUGUCCCGUUUUUGCACGUGGACUCGCCUGAAAACAAUUGGCAGCCGGCAAUCUGGUGUAGAACGCAGCACAUUUUGCGCUUCUUACUAUGGAUGUUGGCGUCCACUAAGUUUUAUCAUUUGCUCUUGACCUCGGAUCAGGUAGGGAUACCCGCUGAACUUAA
RNAcentral lists this ribosomal RNA (571 nucleotides) under uncultured Pyrenochaeta. Its description in RNAcentral is "eukaryotic LSU rRNA". The stretch from base 221 to 374 matches the Rfam family "5.8S ribosomal RNA". Lineage: Eukaryota; Fungi; Ascomycota; Dothideomycetes; Pleosporales; Pleosporaceae. The record is from RNAcentral.